This 3768-nucleotide long non-coding RNA is filed under the name Ornithorhynchus anatinus (platypus). Its description in RNAcentral is "lncRNA (ENSOANG00000036947.1)". The record is from RNAcentral. Lineage: Eukaryota; Metazoa; Chordata; Mammalia; Monotremata; Ornithorhynchidae.
CCUCCUCGUCCCCGCGGGCCCCGCCCCGCCCCGCCCCGCCAGCGAGGGCGCGCUGACGUCACCCGCCCCCUGCCCGGCCCCGCCCCCUCCGGGGCCCCGCCCCCCUCCGGGCCCCGCCCCCCCGCCCGCCCCCCCGCCCCCCGCCCGCCCCCCCGCCCGCCCCCUGCCGGCCGUCCGGGGCGCGUCCCGCGGCGGAGGGUCCGGGGGCGGAGGGUCCGGGGGCGGAGCGGCGGCGGGGCGGGGCGGGGCGGGGCGGAGCGGGGCGGAGCGGGGCGGCGGAGGGCGGGGGGCUGCGGAGAACGGCGGGCGCCCAGCGAAGAGGGCGUGUGGGGUGCGGGGCGCGGCGCGGCGCAGGUCGGAGCGGGACGCGUCGGAGCCCGGGCAGGGCGGUGAGGUCAGCGAGCGGACAGUGGUGUCUCAGCGAGCAGCGGGAAGUUCUUGCUGACGUGUGCCAGAGCUCCGAGCUUAGCUGGUGAGAAUCCGAGACUCAAUGGCCUGAGAGACAAGUCCCCCAGUGGGCCCCAUAGCCUGGUGAGCGGGCGUUCAGGCCGUGGGACCGGGGAAAGGGCGGGCGAGUUCCAAUGUGGCACUGCCAGCCCGGGAAAGUGGACUGCUGGCUCCUCCCCUCCUGCCCCCGCUCCCCAGAGGAGAGGGGUCAGAGGGCAGAAAGUCCAGAAAUGAGUCCCUUGGGAGGGUCAGACAAGUGACCCCAGCUACCGGCCCAGGCAGAGUGCCCUGGACUGUGCCAUCCCUUUGGGGCUGGGGUUGGAGGUUCCCAUCUCUGCUGCUUGUGGGGUCUUCCCUACUCUGUCCCCCGGCCCUUGCCAAGGUCAAAAUGUGAUCGCCAGGGUCCGGCAGCCUUUAGAGCGAGUUAUGAAAAAUGCAGUUUGGGCAAUUUUCCCGGGCCCUUGGCGGUCAUAGCCCGCCACCGAUGACUGGGAAAGUAUGGCCUAGCGCUCUGAUCCUCUCCUUCCCCUCCAUUCUUCCUCCCCUCUGCGCCCACCCCUCACGCCCCGGCCGGAGCCUGAGGGGAGCCAGGGAAAGGGUGUUCUCCGAGAAAGUUUCUUCAGGUGUGUCUUAAUAAGUCCUGGAUCUCUAUGACUCGGUUCCCUUAAUUAGCCCUUCCCUGUGGAUUGCACCUAGCUGGUGACCUACCGCAGCCCAGCCCGCAUCCUUUGCUCCUCCAUUGCAAACCUACUCUCUCUACCUCGAAUUUCCCCGUUUCAUCGCUGACCCCUUUCCCAUCUCCUCCCUCUGGCCUGGAACUCCCUGCCCCUUCUCCAUUUUCAAAGCCUCACUAAAGUCACAUCUCUUCCGAGAUGCCUUCCCUGACUAAGCCCUCAUCUCUCUGAUUCAUCCUUCUUUCUGAAUUGCGUGUGCACUUGGGUGUGUACCCGUUAAGCUCCAGAUAGUCAGCCAACCCUCAGCCCCGCAACACUAACGUGCGUAUCCUUAUAUUCACUUACCUGCUAUUUAUUUCACUGUCUGUUUCCCUGUCUAGAAAUUUGGGAGAUAAGCCAAGUGCUUAGUACAGUGCUCAGCACACAGUAAGUGCUCAGUAAAUACCACUGAUUGAUUGUCCCACACGGCGUGGGUGGAGGGUCGGGGCUACAGACCAGGGUGUGCCAUGGCUGUCCAAGCACCUGGAGUUUUGGGGCAGUGCUAGAGUGUCCGGGGGUAGGAUGGAAGUUGUCUUUGCCUCCUGAGACAGAGCCAGGUGGGCGGUCAGCAUGGUUGGGGCUUGGAGGGGGGCCGUGAACUGCAGGAGGGGGCAGGGUAGAUUUAGGAUAAGGGUGACAUGAGCGUGUUUGAAAGCAGUGGGGCAGGAGCCAUUGGAAAGUGAACAACUUAGGCUGGUGGGGAGGAAGGAUGGGGUCGAGUGUUAAGGUGUGAAGGGAUGGGGUCGGGGGCACAGGGGGAGGGUAUUGGUUUUGAUAGGAGGCGGGAGAUCUCUUGAGAUACAGCUGGGAAAGUCAAAGAGGGAGCAGGAGGAGAGGGGCUGGAGAGGAUCAGGAGCUUCCCCUCACCUUGGUUCUCCAACUCCAGUCCUUGACUGUGGAGACUGUGCCGUUCCCCUGGAGACCGUCCCAGUGGCUGCUGGGGAUCAGUCUGGUGUGGGCAGGGAUUGUCUCUCUCUAUUGCUGAAUUGUACUUUCCAAUCGCUUUGUAUGGUGCUCUGCACACAGUAAGCACUCAUGAAACACGAUUGAAUGAAUGAAUGCUGGGAAGGGCUGAGAGAGGCAGACAAUUUCUCCCAUCAUCGGAGAAAAGGAGGGGACGGGGAGAGACUGGGACGGCUCGGGAACUUGGAAAAGGGAGGGGUGAGAGGGAGAGGCUCCAAGUGACCCAGACUUGACUUUUGCCCCAGAAGUGGUUGCUGGGAAGACGAGCAACAUACGGUGGCUUGGGGGCUGGAGAGCGAGUUGCUGGCCCAGUGUCCCUGGUGGGGAGCCGAGCCGCCAAACGGUUGGACGGAUGACCGGACGGAAGGCUGGGUGGAUAGCCCUUCUUCUGGGAAGGACUCGUGGGAGCGGAGCCGGGGAGCGCGGCCCUGCAGGCACUGUCCCCACAGCUGAGCCGCUCAGGAGAGGAUGGUGUGGGGGGCUUUAGUGGGGUGAGGGGCUUGGAAAGGAGUCAGUAUGGUGAGGUUGGAACAAAGAAGGGAAUCAAGGGGAGACGAGGCUAGGGCCACUAAGGGCGGAAGAUGCUGUUAGCUGUUGGUCCCCGAGGUUAGUAUGAGGUUUUGGCAAGGGAAGGGGGCAGUGGGAGCGACCGAGUGGAAGGAUGAGAGGUUGGGGGAAGCUAGGGGAGACAUGGUCCCUGCCUUGGAGGGGCUGCCAGUGAGAUAGGAAGAGAGGACACACAUGAGAACGCAUGCAGAGACACAUGCAAACAGCAAACAUGACACAGUGUGACUGGAGACCAUCUGUGUGGGUGGGUGUGUGCACUGAUGGGAGGCAUGGGUAGAGUGAAGGAGCGGGAGGGCAUGGGCAUGUGGGAAGACUUGGCAAUGAGUCAGAGUCUCCCACGAACUAUGCCAGUCCAGCCUAUUUCCAGGGCAUGGUAGGCAGACCAGGAACCAGCCUCUGCCCUGCAGCCGACCUGGCCACUCCACCCCUGUGACUGACCUGUGUCCCUCCACUCCUGUGGCCGGUGUAUGUCCCUCCGCCCCCACGGCCAGCCUGACCCUUCUGCCUCUGUGGCCGGUCUGUGGCCCUCCGCCCCUGCAGCCAUAGUGUCUUCUCCAUCCCCGAGAUCAGUCUGCAGCUUUUUGGCCAGCGUGCGACUGAGGAAGCAAGUCGGUCAUUGAGGAGGAUGCUCCGCUUCCUGAUUAACUUUGGCUGAGUCCAGUGGCCACGUUAGGCGCUCAGAGCCCAGGGUCAUGUUGGCACGCCACCAGUUGGCUCCAGCAGGCCGAUCUUGAUCACCCAUGCUGAGCCCGUGGCACAGGGUUUCCCCAGACCCUGGCCUCCACCCGGCCCUGUCCUGCCUUACGAGGCUUCUCCCUGACCGACUCAGGGGAUGAUCAGGGAGGUGAGAGGACAGCAGGGCUGGCUGACCGGCAUUCGGAAGCUGGACCAUCUGGAUGGGGGACUGGCAGGAUUCCGGUCAGGCGGCCACCAGCCAUGUUGUGGGCACAGGUGCAGGGAAGGGCUGGUGGGCGGAAGUUUCUCCUGCAGGAGCUAAGGGUCUGAGCGAGUUCCUGGUGGUGGUGGCCUGGGGCCAUGUGCCAGGGACAGUUUCUGCUCCCUGGAGCUAAAAAUAGAC